GAUGAACGCUGGCGGCGUGCCUAAUACAUGCAAGUCGAGCGAACAGAUAAGGAGCUUGCUCCUUUGACGUUAGCGGCGGACGGGUGAGUAACACGUGGGUAACCUACCUAUAAGACUGGGAUAACUUCGGGAAACCGGAGCUAAUACCGGAUAACAUUUGGAACCGCAUGGUUCUAAAGUGAAAGAUGGUUUUGCUAUCACUUAUAGAUGGACCCGCGCCGUAUUAGCUAGUUGGUAAGGUAACGGCUUACCAAGGCGACGAUACGUAGCCGACCUGAGAGGGUGAUCGGCCACACUGGAACUGAGACACGGUCCAGACUCCUACGGGAGGCAGCAGUAGGGAAUCUUCCGCAAGGGGCGAAAGCCUGACGGAGCAACGCCGCGUGAGUGAUGAAGGGGUUCGGCUCGUAAAACUCUGUUAUUAGGGAAGAACAAAUGUGUAAGUAACUGUGCACGUCCUGACGGUACCUAAUCAGAAAGCCACGGCUAACUACGUG
Molecule: ribosomal RNA, 497 nt
Filed under: uncultured bacterium
Lineage: Bacteria
Description: partial 16S ribosomal RNA
Rfam family: Bacterial small subunit ribosomal RNA
Source: RNAcentral